This 202-nucleotide long non-coding RNA is filed under the name Sorghum bicolor (sorghum). Its description in RNAcentral is "long non-coding RNA (SBIC_LNC018643)". Lineage: Eukaryota; Viridiplantae; Streptophyta; Magnoliopsida; Poales; Poaceae. The record is from RNAcentral.
UGAGCCUAUGGUGCAUUAUGUGCAAACCAUGCACCAAUCUUGCACCUAAACUAACACUGUCUCCAAACAGAUUGAAGCAAGAUUCCAUAUGACACACAUGAUCUAGGAGUUCUAUCGGGUGCAUCCAAAUUGAUUUAUGAGAAUAUGGUACAUUCCAUGCAAACCAUAUACCUAUCUUUCAUCAAGAUUAACAUUAUCUCCA